AGUGGGUAGAGAACGGCGCACGAGCAGCUGGGAACCCAGGAAGCUGAGGCCAUUAAUCUCGCCAUUUAUGGAAACACCGAGACAGCUUAGAGACCCCUGACAGUCUAUCAUAGACCUGGGUGCGUCGCUGGUGUUUACCGCUUGCUGACCAUGAAAUCUGAGCGUGCUGAUCCACCAGCCCGGGACAGAGCCUCCGGGUAUUAUCCUACUCAGAAUGUCAAAUUCACCGUCUAACAGUGUUCAAGUUUUCAGUAUCUUUUACUACGACAGCCCAGAGUGGCUACAAGGAGCACCUUUCCCCAUAUCAUUACUGCUGUUGACGUGAGACUUGGCACCUUUGACAGAAGCAGGUUGCUGUGUUGGCAGGUGGGGGGCCGAGGUACGCCGGAGUCCAGCCUUUCCUGUUCACACUGUUCUGCCUUUGAAAGAAGUGUCCUCCACCCCUCACUACAUGUGAGAAAGGAAAUUGCUUUACCUAUAGAGAAUGCUGUUUACAGGGACUCUUGGAGGAGAUUAUGACGGCCAUUGGCUGGAUUUACGGGGGAGCGCUGCUUACCAGGUCACAUCUUUCACUGCAGGCUGAUGAAACCUGCCACUGAUGGUUCACCAUCUCCGCUCUUUAUACAGAGUAGGACCCAAGCCUUUCCCGGGAGGCAGGAACCUAGGGCCAGGGGAGAUGCUGAUUUACGUGGAGUGACUUGGUCGUAUGCAGGAGGUUGCUGUUUUUAGGAAACC
Long non-coding RNA from Nycticebus coucang (slow loris), 735 nucleotides. RefSeq lists it as uncharacterized. The transcript has 3 exons. The record is from RefSeq and is a predicted model, not a curated record. Lineage: Eukaryota; Metazoa; Chordata; Mammalia; Primates; Lorisidae.